ACAUGCAAGUCGAGCGGACAGAUGGGAGCUUGCUCCCUGAUGUUAGCGGCGGACGGGUGAGUAACACGUGGGUAACCUGCCUGUAAGACUGGGAUUUUCCGGGAAACCGGGGCUAAUACCGGAUGCUUGUUUGAACCGCAUGGUUCAAACAUAAAAGGUGGCUUCGGCUACCACUUACAGAUGGACCCGCGGCGCAUUAGCUAGUUGGUGAGGUAACGGCUCACCAAGGCAACGAUGCGUAGCCGACCUGAGAGGGUGAUCGGCCACACUGGGACUGAGACACGGCCCAAACUCCUACGGGAAGCAGCAGUAAGGAAUCCUCCGCAAUGGACGAAAGUCUGACGGAGCAC
This 350-nucleotide ribosomal RNA is filed under the name Bacillus subtilis. RNAcentral describes it as "bacterial SSU rRNA". It matches the Rfam family "Bacterial small subunit ribosomal RNA", at positions 53 to 392 of the family's 1533-position model. The record is from RNAcentral. Lineage: Bacteria; Bacillati; Bacillota; Bacilli; Caryophanales; Bacillaceae.